This 206-nucleotide ribosomal RNA is filed under the name uncultured bacterium. Its description in RNAcentral is "partial 16S ribosomal RNA". It matches the Rfam family "Bacterial small subunit ribosomal RNA", at positions 568 to 774 of the family's 1533-position model. The record is from RNAcentral.
CGCGUAGGCGGCUUUGUAAGUCAGAGGUGAAAGCCUGGAGCUCAACUCCAGAACUGCCUUUGGGACUGCAUCGCUAGAAUCAUGGAGAGGUAAGUGGAAUUCCGAGUGUAGAGGUGAAAUUCGUAGAUAUUCGGAAGAACACCAGUGGCGAAGGCGACUUACUGGACAUGUAUUGACGCUGAGGUGCGAAAGCGUGGGAGCAAACA